RNAcentral lists this ribosomal RNA (452 nucleotides) under Melomys cervinipes (faun-footed melomys). Its description in RNAcentral is "partial 16S ribosomal RNA". It matches the Rfam family "Bacterial large subunit ribosomal RNA", at positions 1928 to 2557 of the family's 2925-position model. Lineage: Eukaryota; Metazoa; Chordata; Mammalia; Rodentia; Muridae. The record is from RNAcentral.
CGGCCGCGGUAUCCUGACCGUGCAAAGGUAGCAUAAUCACUUGUUCCUUAAUUAGGGACUAGCAUGAAUGGCCAAACGAGGAUUCAACUGUCUCUUAUUUUUAAUCAGUGAAAUUGACCUUUCAGUGAAGAGGCUGAAAUACUAAAAUAAGACGAGAAGACCCUAUGGAGCUUAAAUUAAAAGUUUAACUUUACUCCUAUCAACCUAAUGGUAUAACACAAAAAUUCUAAACUUUAAAUUUCGGUUGGGGUGACCUCGGAGAACAGAAAAUCCUCCGAAUGAUUUUAACAUAGACCAACAAGUCAAAGUAACCUAAAAAUCUUAUUGACCCAAAAAUUUUUUGAUCAACGGACCAAGUUACCCUAGGGAUAACAGCGCAAUCCUAUUUUAGAGUCCAUAUCGACAAUAGGGUUUACGACCUCGAUGUUGGAUCAGGACAUCCCAAUGGCGCA